AUGGCCCCUGGGGUACGGCGUGGUGUCGCUGUCACUGCGUGGCCCCCACGGUGUCGCGUGUUGUCACCAUCACUGCACGGUCCCGCACGCGCCGGGUCCCGCACGGCCCCGAGGCACUGCGCAGCGUCACCGUGCCUCCCUGCUCCGUGGGGUGUCACCCGGCGUCACCGUCACCGCGCAGUGCUCAGGGUGUCACUGUCACGGCUUGGCCACGGGGUGCCACACAGUGUCACUGCAGCUCCCAUGGGUUGUCACACGGAGUCACCGUCAGUGCCCGGCGCAGGGGAUGUCACGCCGCGCUAUGUCACCGCAUGGCCCACGGGUGUCACGCAGCGUCACCGUCACUGCCGUCCCGCAGUGUAUCACACAGCGUCGCUGUCACUGCAUGGCCCACGGGCGUCACCCCGUGUUGCUGUCACUGCGUGGCCCACGGGGUGUCACAGUGUCACUGUGCAGCGCAGGAUAUCCCCCACAGCCACUCCCCUGCACAUCCCGCGGGCUGUCACCAGUGUCACUGCACGCCCCUGGGGUGCGCUAUGCCCCGUCCCCGUCCCUGCCAGCCCUGGGGACAGCCUGGGGACAGGACAGCGUCCCCGUGACCGGCUGCCCAAGGGCACAGGGGGAGGAAGGUCCCCAGCAAAUACCGGUCACUGCGUGACAUCAGUCCCUGUGCCAUGGGAUGACGAGUCACCUCGGGGACACCGUGUCCACGUGCCCAGGGGACAGCGCUGCGGUGGCCAAGAGCUGCGAAGCUCCGGGCUCAAACCAGCAGCAGCCCCGACCCCGCUGUUCCCGGCCCCACCGAGGGGACACAUCCCCGUGGUCCCCGAGCCUGUCCCCUCUGCCCACCCCAUCCCGUCCCCCGCUGCCAGGCCAGCAGUGAUUUUCCAUCAGUCACCGGCUGUCCCAAUCAACCAGGCUCUAAUUAAGUGUCAGUGUUGGCAGCCCUUAAUUGCCAAGCAGUGGGAGGGUGGCGGCCCCGCUGUGCCCGCAGCCUGUGUAACGAGAGGCGGCACGACGUGGCCGGGCUGGGGGCUGCCAGGAGGACGUGGUGCCCCCACCUCGCCCCCCAGCCACGACGGGGUCACCCUGCAGGACGAGGGACAGUGCCGGGCACGGGGCUGGGUGUGCUGCCACGUCCCCGUACCAGGGCUAAGCCAGCUGGCCAGCUAG
This 1173-nucleotide long non-coding RNA is filed under the name Anser cygnoides (Swan goose). RNAcentral's name for it is "lncRNA (ENSACDG00005012892.1)". The record is from RNAcentral. Lineage: Eukaryota; Metazoa; Chordata; Aves; Anseriformes; Anatidae.